Molecule: ribosomal RNA, 377 nt
Filed under: uncultured bacterium
Lineage: Bacteria
Description: bacterial SSU rRNA
Rfam family: Bacterial small subunit ribosomal RNA
Source: RNAcentral
GUAGUCCACGCCGUAAACGAUGUCGAUUUGGAGGUUGUGCCCUUGAGGCGUGGCUUCCGGAGCUAACGCGUUAAAUCGACCGCCUGGGGAGUACGGCCGCAAGGUUAAAACUCAAAUGAAUUGACGGGGGCCCGCACAAGCGGUGGAGCAUGUGGUUUAAUUCGAUGCAACGCGAAGAACCUUACCUGGUCUUGACAUCCACAGAACUUUCCAGAGAUGGAUUGGUGCCUUCGGGAACUGUGAGACAGGUGCUGCAUGGCUGUCGUCAGCUCGUGUUGUGAAAUGUUGGGUUAAGUCCCGCAACGAGCGCAACCCUUAUCCUUUGUUGCCAGCGGUUAGGCCGGGAACUCAAAGGAGACUGCCAGUGAUAAACUGGA